Molecule: ribosomal RNA, 492 nt
Filed under: uncultured bacterium
Lineage: Bacteria
Description: partial 16S ribosomal RNA
Rfam family: Bacterial small subunit ribosomal RNA
Source: RNAcentral
AGUGAACGCUGACGGUAGGCCUAACACAUGCAAGUCGAACGGCAGCACAGUAAGAGCUUGCUCUUACGGGUGGCGAGUGGCGGACGGGUGAGGAAUACAUCGGAAUCUACUUUUUCGUGGGGGAUAACGUAGGGAAACUUACGCUAAUACCGCAUACGACCUACGGGUGAAAGCAGGGGAUCUUCGGACCUUGCGCGAUUGAAUGAGCCGAUGUCGGAUUAGCUAGUUGGCGGGGUAAAGGCCCACCAAGGCGACGAUCCGUAGCUGGUCUGAGAGGAUGAUCAGCCACACUGGAACUGAGACACGGUCCAGACUCCUACGGGAGGCAGCAGUGGGGAAUAUUGGACAAUGGGCGCAAGCUUGAUCCAGCCAUACCGCGUGGGUGAAGAAGGCCUUCGGGUUGUAAAGCCCUUUUGUUGGGAAAGAAAAGCAGCAGGUUAAUACCCCGCUGUUCUGACGGUACCCAAAGAAUAAGCACCGGCUAACUUCGUG